CCUACGGGAGGCAGCAGUGAGGAAUAUUGGUCAAUGGGCGCAAGCCUGACCCAGCAACGCCGCGUGCAGGAAGAAGGCUUUCUGGUUGUAAACCUCUUUUUUUGAGGACUAAACAAAUGUUGCGUCUCGAUGAUUAAGCCACAGCUAACUACGUGCCAGCAGCCGCGGUAAUACGUAGGUGGCAGGCGUUAUGCGGAUUUAUUGGGUGUAAAGGUAUUGUGGGCGGGACUGCAAGUGAGAUGUGUAACCCUUGGGCUCAACCCAUGUCCUGCCUGUGACACUGGAGUGUGUGAGUGAGGGAGAGGCAAGCGGAAUUCGGGGUGUAGCGGUGAAAUGCGUAGAUAUAAGGAGGAACACCAGUGGCGAAGGCAGCCUGCUGGACAUUAACUGACGCUGAGGCGCGAAAGCGUGGGGAGCAAACAGGAUUAGAUACCCGAGUAGUC
RNAcentral lists this ribosomal RNA (443 nucleotides) under uncultured bacterium. RNAcentral's name for it is "partial 16S ribosomal RNA". It matches the Rfam family "Bacterial small subunit ribosomal RNA", at positions 338 to 795 of the family's 1533-position model. The record is from RNAcentral.